GACCCCGUGAACCUUUACUAUAGCUUGACACUGAACAUUGAGCCUUGAUGUGUAGGAUAGGUGGGAGGCUUUGAAGCGUGGACGCCAGUCUGCGUGGAGCCAACCUUGAAAUACCACCCUUUAAUGUUUGAUGUUCUAACGUUGGCCCCUUACCGGGGUUGCGGACAGUGUCUGGUGGGUAGUUUGACUGGGGCGGUCUCCUCCCAAAGCGUAACGGAGGAGCACGAAGGUUAGCUAAUCCUGGUCGGACAUCAGGAGGUUAGUGCAAUGGCAUAAGCUAGCUUGACUGCGAGCGUGACGG
Molecule: ribosomal RNA, 301 nt
Filed under: Klebsiella pneumoniae
Lineage: Bacteria; Pseudomonadati; Pseudomonadota; Gammaproteobacteria; Enterobacterales; Enterobacteriaceae
Description: bacterial LSU rRNA
Rfam family: Bacterial large subunit ribosomal RNA
Source: RNAcentral